UACGGAGGGAGCUAGCGUUGUUCGGAAUUACUGGGCGUAAAGCGCACGUAGGCGGCUUUGUAAGUUAGAGGUGAAAGCCCAGGGCUCAACCCUGGAAUUGCCUUUAAGACUGCAUCGCUUGAACAUCGGAGAGGUAAGUGGAAUUCCGAGUGUAGAGGUGAAAUUCGUAGAUAUUCGGAAGAACACCAGUGGCGAAGGCGACUUACUGGACGAUUGUUGACGCUGAGGUGCGAAAGCGUGGGGAGCAAACAGG
This 253-nucleotide ribosomal RNA is filed under the name uncultured bacterium. Its description in RNAcentral is "partial 16S ribosomal RNA". It matches the Rfam family "Bacterial small subunit ribosomal RNA", at positions 524 to 776 of the family's 1533-position model. The record is from RNAcentral.